Molecule: transfer RNA, 69 nt
Filed under: Marmota monax (woodchuck)
Lineage: Eukaryota; Metazoa; Chordata; Mammalia; Rodentia; Sciuridae
Also listed under: 1 other name
Rfam family: tRNA
About the family: Transfer RNA (tRNA) molecules are approximately 80 nucleotides in length. Their secondary structure includes four short double-helical elements and three loops (D, anti-codon, and T loops). Further hydrogen bonds mediate the characteristic L-shaped molecular structure. tRNAs have two regions of fundamental functional importance: the anti-codon, which is responsible for specific mRNA codon recognition, and the 3' end, to which the tRNAs corresponding amino acid is attached (by aminoacyl-tRNA synthetases). tRNAs cope with the degeneracy of the genetic code in two manners: having more than one tRNA (with a specific anti-codon) for a particular amino acid; and 'wobble' base-pairing, i.e. permitting non-standard base-pairing at the 3rd anti-codon position.
Source: Rfam by way of RNAcentral
GGGGUUGUGGCUCAGAGGUAGAGCACUCGCCUAGCAUGCGUGAAGCACUUGGUCCGAUCCUCAGCACCA